This is a non-coding RNA of Apaloderma vittatum (bar-tailed trogon), 62 nucleotides long. The record is from Rfam. Lineage: Eukaryota; Metazoa; Chordata; Aves; Trogoniformes; Trogonidae.
GGUAGCUCAGUCAGUCGAGCGUGGCGCUAAGAACGCGAAGGUCGCGGGUUCGAUUCCUGUUC